AAGAAUUUAAAGAGUGCACUUCAUUGUGGCUCGACAUUUUCUACCAUUCACCCUAGUGCAACCGUAAUACCUUUUUUAUUAGACUCUACAAAGUUAAUGAAUGUAACACUUUUUUAUAAAGAAAUA
RNAcentral lists this unclassified non-coding RNA (126 nucleotides) under soil metagenome. Its description in RNAcentral is "partial internal transcribed spacer 1". The record is from RNAcentral.